CACAAUCUCGAGAAUCCCGCCUUCCAUUAUUCCCUUCUCCAUCUAAACCCAAUUUUGGUUUUUUUUUUUUUAUUAAGAAGAAAAAAGGAAAACCAAGCGGCAAAGCAGAUCCAUCAAUGGGUUGAGAAGAAAUCGUGAUUAAACGCAAAGCAGGUUACAAAGUUCGUAUGUGUAUGAUGAAUACAAGUUUCUGAAGGGGUAAGCUGGUCGGUGGUUUCACCAGAGGCAGUGACAUUGUUUUGUUACAGGUUUGUUGUUGCGGGUGGUGGUGGGAUAGAUUUCCUUGAGCAGUUUAGGUGGUCAGAUAUGCAGCGGUGGAGAGGGGAGACAGGAGGGGGGUAUUCAAAAUUAUCAUGCUUGUAACUUAUUUGUCAUGUUUCUUGUAAAUUUAUCAUGUGUACAAUAAUGUGUAGUUGAACGGUUUUUAUAUAUGUUUAUGGUGAAUUUGCAAAAAUAACCCAUAAAAAAAUGGUCGAUUUUAUGUUCCAAA
Molecule: long non-coding RNA, 490 nt
Organism: Rhododendron vialii
Lineage: Eukaryota; Viridiplantae; Streptophyta; Magnoliopsida; Ericales; Ericaceae
Exons: 2
Source: RefSeq, a predicted model, not a curated record